This 85-nucleotide transfer RNA is filed under the name Desulfotomaculum nigrificans CO-1-SRB. RNAcentral describes it as "tRNA-Leu (TAG) (tRNA-Leu-TAG-1-1)". It matches the Rfam family "tRNA". Rfam says of the family: Transfer RNA (tRNA) molecules are approximately 80 nucleotides in length. Their secondary structure includes four short double-helical elements and three loops (D, anti-codon, and T loops). The record is from RNAcentral. Lineage: Bacteria; Bacillati; Bacillota; Clostridia; Eubacteriales; Desulfotomaculaceae.
GCGGAUGUGGCGGAAUUGGCAGACGCGCCAGACUUAGGAUCUGGUACCGCAAGGUGUGGGGGUUCAAGUCCCUUCAUCCGCACCA